RNAcentral lists this ribosomal RNA (301 nucleotides) under uncultured bacterium. RNAcentral describes it as "partial 16S ribosomal RNA". It matches the Rfam family "Bacterial small subunit ribosomal RNA", at positions 509 to 807 of the family's 1533-position model. The record is from RNAcentral.
CAGCAGCCGCGGUAAUACGUAGGUGGCAAGCGUUGUCCGGAAUUAUUGGGCGUAAAGCGCGCGCAGGCGGUUUCUUAAGUCUGAUGUGAAAGCCCCCGGCUCAACCGGGGAGGGUCAUUGGAAACUGGGAAACUUGAGUGCAGAAGAGGAGAGUGGAAUUCCACGUGUAGCGGUGAAAUGCGUAGAGAUGUGGAGGAACACCAGUGGCGAAGGCGACUCUCUGGUCUGUAACUGACGCUGAGGAGCGAAAGCGUGGGGAGCGAACAGGAUUAGAGACCCCUGUAGUCCCUGUCUCUUAUAC